AAAUUAUCGUAUAAUCCAAAGCCGAACAGCUAAAUCUCGAGCUAGGUAGCAAAAUCAUACACCAUAUGCGUUCAAAUUUGAUUAUUUCAAGAUACCUGUACUCUGCAGAAACAAGCUCACAUGCUACAAUAUGAUCUACACAGUUCGAAUUCAUCAUCAAUUUGUACGUCGAACAUCGCCGCGUCGCCGUUGUCUCCCAGAUGCGACAUGACAUUGAUCAUCCAUAACUUCCUGCCUCAUUUCUAGACUGUAACGAUCUAUCCGAAGUAAAGUUUUCUGUUCUGAUACGUUGGGAAUCAUUAUCUGCUUCUUGCAAGAGGGGAAAAAUGUGUUGCUCCGAUGAAGGACAUUGAGGACUUACUAAGUCGAGCCAAAGAAGAAUUUGGCUACAGUCACCCUAUGGGAUGCUUCACUAUUCCCUACAUCGAUGGUACAUUCGUUGAUCUCAUCUCCCAAUUGAAUGAGUCCUGAAAUAAGAUGUAUUUGUUAGACAUGGCCUAAUAAACUAGAUAGUACCAUUCUUAUAUAUGCUCUUUUGUAGGUGGAGAUAAAAGAAAUGCCUCUCCCAAUGAUGUAUAGAGAACUUCAUAUUCUAAUUUUAGAAAAUGAAAACAAUUCAUUCCAUGCAAGUGACACCUCUCGGGGCCUAGACCUUCCCAAAUACAUUUUGUUUUGUACAUAAGGAAGUACGUUUUCUACAUGACAUGUCUUCCAUAAGCAACAAUUUUUAUCUGGUGUACCAACACCGUACUAAACCUUGAAAGUUGUCGGAGUUCAUCAUUUGUGGGACUCCAAUAGCUGUACUGAUGUAUCACAAAGGCAAAGACUUAGCUGCCAUCUAAAAUUGGUCCUUUACUGGCUGAUUUUCCCAAGAAGUUUGGUGACUUUGUUUACCCAAUAUUAUUUCCUGAGUUCCUGAAGAUAAUGGGAGACAGGACCAUGUGAUACAGUAUACUUCACAAGUACUUGCCUUCUGGUUGGUCCCAUUCAGAGAUUUCUCACCACUCAUUUCUUAGAGCAAACUAUUGCCCACGUCACCAUUUUUCUUCUAUAUAUAUACUUGUUUUUAAGACCCAAGCAACUCAGAUCUCAAACUUUCAACCACCCACAAAGUUUUCUCGUUCUCUCAAUUGCUAUUGGGAAACCUCAAGUUUCUUCAAUUCUAAAUUCUUUUACUUUCUGUUCUGAAUAACAAAACCAUGGGUUUUCGUCUGGAAAAAAUUGUAAAUGCUGUGCAAAAUCUAGGACUUUCUUCUCUAGCAACAGACCAAGGAUUGUCUGUAGUCCGGAAAGGCUAUUGUGCAGUUUAUGUAGGAGAGAGCCAAAGGCGGUUUGUGAUUCCAAUAGCAUACUUGAAUCAGCCAUUUUUCAAGGACUUGCUCAGUGAAGCUGAAGAAGAAUUUGGUUACAAUCACCCUAUGGGAGGUCUCACCAUUCCCUGCAGUGAUGAUAAAUUCAUUGAUCUCCUCUCUCAUUUGAAUUAGGCGUGAACGAGAAUAUUAGUUAGACAAUCUUGUAGAUUAGAU
Molecule: long non-coding RNA, 1526 nt
Organism: Cucurbita moschata (crookneck pumpkin)
Lineage: Eukaryota; Viridiplantae; Streptophyta; Magnoliopsida; Cucurbitales; Cucurbitaceae
Exons: 7
Source: RefSeq, a predicted model, not a curated record